ACUCCUACGGGAGGCAGCAGUGGGGAAUCUUGGACAAUGGGCGCAAGCCUGAUCCAGCCAUGCCGCGUGAGUGAUGAAGGCCCUAGGGUCGUAAAAGCUCUUUCGCCAGGGAUGAUAAUGACAGUACCUGGUAAAGAAACCCCGGCUAACUCCGUGCCAGCAGCCGCGGUAAUACGGAGGGGGUUAGGCGUUGUUCGGAAUUACUGGGGCGUAAAGCGCGCGUAGGCGGACUGGAAAGUUGGGGGUGAAAUCCCGGGGGCUCAACCCCGGAACUGCCUCCAAAACUCCCAGUCUUGAGUUCGAGAGAGGUGAGUGGAAUUCCGAGUGUAGAGGUGAAAUUCGUAGAUAUUCGGAGGAACACCAGUGGCGAAGGCGGCUCACUGGCUCGAUACUGACGCUGAGGUGCGAAAGUGUGGGGAGCAAACAGGAUUAGAUACCCUGGUAGGAUAGCG
Molecule: ribosomal RNA, 452 nt
Filed under: uncultured bacterium
Lineage: Bacteria
Description: bacterial SSU rRNA
Rfam family: Bacterial small subunit ribosomal RNA
Source: RNAcentral